CCCUUAGAUGUUCUGGGCCGCACGCGCGCUACACUGAUGCAUUCAACGAGCCUAUCCUUGACCGACAGGUCCGGGUAAUCUUUGAAUCUGCAUCGUGACGGGGAUAGAUUAUUGCAAUUAUUAAUCUUCAACGAGGAAUGCCUAGUAGGCGCAAGUCAUCAGCUUGCGUCGAUUACGUCCCUGCCCUUGGUACACACCGCCCGUCGCUCCUACCGAUUGGGUGUGCUGGUGAAAUGUUCGGAUCGGCCGUUUGUCGCGGUUUCCGCGUCAUGUGGCUGAGAAGUUCAUUAAACCCUCCCACCUAGAGGAAGGAGAAGUCGUAACA
This 325-nucleotide ribosomal RNA is filed under the name uncultured eukaryote. RNAcentral describes it as "partial 18S ribosomal RNA". It matches the Rfam family "Eukaryotic small subunit ribosomal RNA", at positions 1470 to 1796 of the family's 1831-position model. The record is from RNAcentral.